RNAcentral lists this ribosomal RNA (333 nucleotides) under Triticum aestivum (bread wheat). Its description in RNAcentral is "partial small subunit ribosomal RNA". The record is from RNAcentral. Lineage: Eukaryota; Viridiplantae; Streptophyta; Magnoliopsida; Poales; Poaceae.
AUGUUUAACAAAAAAUCUUUGAAUGAUGAGCAUGAUUACAAUGUUGUUGAUAUGAACUCUUUGAAUAUCCAUGAUGCUAACGAUAUGCAAAGCUACAAGCUUGGGGAUGCUAUGUUCGAUGAAGAUGAUAUUUCUUGUUCCCCAAGUUUUGAUGAGAAAAUUUAUUAUGAUGAUAGCAUGCCUCCUAUUUAUGAUGAUUAUAGUGAUGAAAGUGUAUUUAUAGAGACCAUGACUUUAGUUAGUGAUGAAUGCACUAUUUUGAAAGAUGUUUCAAUUGACUAUGAUAAAAAGUUCCUAUCUAUGAUGAUUAUGGUGAUGACAUGUAUGCUAUAA